GGGUACUCUAAAGGAACCGCCGGUGAUAAGCCGGAGGAAGGUGGGGAUGACGUCAAGUCCUCAUGGCCCUUACGCGUUGGGCUACACACGUGCUACAAUGGCGACUACAGUGGGCAGCCACCUCGCGAGAGGGAGCUAAUCUCCAAAAGUCGUCUCAGUUCGGAUCGUUCUCUGCAACUCGAGAGCGUGAAGGCGGAAUCGCUAGUAAUCGCGGAUCAGCAUGCCGCGGUGAAUACGUUCCCAGGCCUUGUACACACCGCCCGUCACACCAUGGGAGUUGGAUUCACUCGAAGGCGUUGAGCUAACCGCAAGGAGGCAGGCGACCACAGUGGGUUUAGCGACUGGGGUGAA
This 351-nucleotide ribosomal RNA is filed under the name alpha proteobacterium K-2041. RNAcentral describes it as "bacterial SSU rRNA". It matches the Rfam family "Bacterial small subunit ribosomal RNA", at positions 1133 to 1484 of the family's 1533-position model. The record is from RNAcentral. Lineage: Bacteria; Pseudomonadati; Pseudomonadota; Alphaproteobacteria.